AAUAAUGUGAAAUAAAGUAAAUAUGCAGAAAUAAUCAGAAUGCAAAUAAGUGAUAAUAUACAUGAAAUACUGCAAAAUAAGAGAUUGAUGUAGAAGUAAAUAUAGUUAGAAAAAUAAUCUUGCAAAAUCAAUGGACAAUCAAAUGAAAGUGCACUGAAAAUAAUAUACUGGUUAUUAAUUAAGACAUAGCAAUAAAAAGAUUACAAAUGUACCAAAAAUAAAAAUAAAUGAGGUAAAAGCAUAAUUAUUUUUCCUCGAAGAUAUUAGAGAGAAAAUGGAAAGCUAGGAACGAAAAAUACGCGCCAACAGAAAGUAAUCCAAAAUAAUAUGAAGUUAAUGACCAGCUGUGAAAAAAAUGAUUGUGGUGAAUUAAAAAGAUUACAAAUGUACCAAAAAUAAAAGAGCUAAAAGCAUAAUAUUUUUUCCUCGAAGAUAUUAGAGAGGAACAAAAAAUACGCGCCAACAGAAAGUAAUCCAAAAUAAUAGGGAGUUAAUGACCGGCUGUGAAAAAAUGAUUGUAGUGAAUAUAAUGAAAGAAAUAACAACAAAAAGAGAAGCAAAAGCGAUUGGUAGGCAGGGCAGUUGUCUCUGAUUCUGUUAUUCUUCGUUCGCCUUCUGUUUCUUGGCCGUAGAUUUCUUGGUGCUUGGAAGUAUAACGUGAACGGAAUAAAAAAUCGAAAUAACAAAAGAAAAGCACGUAGGCAAUUAGGGUUGUUUUGAAAUCGUUGCUUGUAUUACUGUUAGUUUUGUUUAUUGAAGUUGAUUAGGUUUUUUUAUAUAUA
Molecule: long non-coding RNA, 782 nt
Organism: Eriocheir sinensis (Chinese mitten crab)
Lineage: Eukaryota; Metazoa; Arthropoda; Malacostraca; Decapoda; Varunidae
Exons: 2
Source: RefSeq, a predicted model, not a curated record